Molecule: ribosomal RNA, 774 nt
Filed under: uncultured Neocallimastigales
Lineage: Eukaryota; Fungi; Neocallimastigomycota; Neocallimastigomycetes; Neocallimastigales
Description: partial large subunit ribosomal RNA
Rfam family: Eukaryotic large subunit ribosomal RNA
Source: RNAcentral
UACUAGAGUAGCACUCGCAUAUCAAUAAGCGGAGGAAAAGAAACUAACAAGGAUUCCCCUAGUAACGGCGAGUGAAGCGGGAAGAGCUCAAAUUUGAAAUCUUAAAGGGUUUCCCUUUACGAAUUGUAGUUUAAAGAAGUGUUUUCUGUUGAGGUUUUGGUAAAAGUUCUUUGGAAUAGGACAUCAUAGAGGGUGAGAAUCCCGUAUUUGACCUUUACUUUCAACUUUGUGAUACACUUUCAAAGAGUCGGAUUGUUUGGGAAUGCAGUCCAAAAUGGGUGGUAAAUUUCAUCUAAAGCUAAAUAUUGGCGAGAGACCGAUAGCGAACAAGUACCGUGAGGGAAAGAUGAAAAGAACUUUGAAAAGAGAGUUAAACAGUACGUGAAAUUGUCAAAAGGGAAGCGUUUGACACCAGUGUUGUUUUUCUGAAAAUCAAUUAAAGAACUGUUUAUGCUAAGUUGUUUAGACUUUAUCAGCUAUCUGUUUAGUUUUGAGCUUUUCUUUAAUGCACUUUUCAGUUAACAAGUCAACAUCAAUUUCUUUUGCUGUAAAAAAGCUUGAGGAAGGUGGCUUGAGAUUCGUCUUAAGUGUUUAUAGCCUCUUGCCUAUGCAGUCGGAGAGAUUGAGGUCUGCAGCGUAGAUCCUUCGGGGCUAAAUGCAUUUGUGCUAAGUUAUAGCAUUUUAUAGACAACUUGUUGACUAUGAUUUGUCUUGUAGCUUACUCGCUUAUGUUAUUUUACCUACGCUUAGGAUGUUGAGUCAUCACACAUCUCU